UGCACAGUCUUAAACCUUAAUAUGAUUACACAAAUUAUAUUCGCCAGGGAACUACGAGCGUAAGCUUUAAACCCAAAGGACUUGGCGGUGCUUUAGUCCCCUCUAGAGGAGCCUGUUCUAUAACCGAUAACCCCCGUUAAACCCUACUUUCUCUUGUUCUUCCCGUUUAUAUACCGCCGUCGUCAGCUUACCCUGUGAAGGAGGUAAAGUAAGCGAAAUUGAUAUAAUCUAAAACGUCAGGUCGAGGUGUAGCAUAUGAGAAAGAAAGAAAUGGGCUACAUUUCCUAUUUAAGGAUAUACGGAAAUGCUAUGAAAUACUAGUAAUCAAGGAGGAUUUAGCAGUAAACAAGAAAUAGAGAGUCUUGUUGAAGUCGGCCCUGAAGC
RNAcentral lists this ribosomal RNA (384 nucleotides) under Nothobranchius thierryi (Togo killifish). Its description in RNAcentral is "partial 12S rRNA". It matches the Rfam family "Bacterial small subunit ribosomal RNA", at positions 793 to 1380 of the family's 1533-position model. Lineage: Eukaryota; Metazoa; Chordata; Actinopteri; Cyprinodontiformes; Nothobranchiidae. The record is from RNAcentral.